RNAcentral lists this ribosomal RNA (468 nucleotides) under uncultured bacterium. RNAcentral describes it as "partial 16S ribosomal RNA". It matches the Rfam family "Bacterial small subunit ribosomal RNA", at positions 28 to 507 of the family's 1533-position model. The record is from RNAcentral.
GACGAACGCUGGCGGCGUGCUUAACACAUGCAAGUCGAACGGAAAGGCCCUGCUUUUGUGGGGUGCUCGAGUGGCGAACGGGUGAGUAACACGUGAGUAACCUGCCCUUGACUUUGGGAUAACUUCAGGAAACUGGGGCUAAUACCGGAUAGAAGCUCCUGCUGCAUGGUGGGGGUUGGAAAGUUUCGGCGGUUGGGGAUGGACUCGCGGCUUAUCAGCUUGUUGGUGGGGUAGUGGCUUACCAAGGCUUUGACGGGUAGCCGGCCUGAGAGGGUGACCGGCCACAUUGGGACUGAGAUACGGAGCAGACUGCUACGGGAGGCAGCAGUGGGGAAUAUUGCACAAUGGGCGGAAGCCUGAUGCAGCAACGCCGCGUGCGGGAUGACGGCCUUCGGGUUGUAAACCGCUUUCGCCUGUGACGAAGCGUGAGUGACGGUAAUGGGUAAGGAAGCACCGGCUAACUACGUG